This 282-nucleotide unclassified non-coding RNA is filed under the name uncultured fungus. RNAcentral's name for it is "partial contains 5.8S ribosomal RNA, internal transcribed spacer 2, and large subunit ribosomal RNA". The record is from RNAcentral. Lineage: Eukaryota; Fungi.
AACGCAAAUUGCACUCUCUUCGGAGAGUAUGCCUGUUUGAGGGUCAUUAUAAUUAAAAUCGGUGUGUUGCUUUUGUGACGCUCCGGAGUUUGAGUUAUCUUAACCUUUUUUUUAAGAGACUUAAAAUUGACAUCUUUUUGCGCAUUUUUAGACGUACAUAAAUUUUUUUAUUCGUUUAUUUUAAUGCCAAAAUCUAUUAGAUGCGACCAAUAUUGUAUGGUUACGUAUCUAUAAUUUUCAUGAUUUGACCUCAAAUCAGGUAGGAGUACCCGCUGAACUUAA